This is a long non-coding RNA of Myiozetetes cayanensis, 1598 nucleotides long. RefSeq lists it as uncharacterized. The transcript is spliced from 2 exons. NCBI's taxonomy places the organism in Eukaryota, Metazoa, Chordata, Aves, Passeriformes, Tyrannidae. The record is from RefSeq and is a predicted model, not a curated record.
CCAUCAUUCUGAAAAUACUGUACUUGUGUGAAAUUUUAAUGUGGGAUCUUUGUUUCACCAGGUAAUGUUGGGUUACGUGCAAGAAACCACUGCAUGGACGAUGAUAGAAGGGCUGAUUGUGCUAUUUCUUUUUUGUGUGAUGGCCUGGUGGGCACUGGAGCUGUUUUGCCACCAGAACUGGUUAACAGAGGGGCUUGUCCUCCCAGGAUCCCAAGCUGACAGAUGCUUCUACCUUGCAUUAGAGUAGUUUGGUUUUUUUAAGUCUUCCCAAGAGCACAGUGCGAAUUCUUGCACACCAGGCACGGCCAGGGAAAACUGGGAGAACUUUUUGCCUAGAUUCCUGGAAUGAAAAAUGCCUCCUUGCAGAUAAAUGUGGUACUUUGAAACCCUCAGUUUGAUUUUUUUCCCACUCAUGAGCACUGGACCCUUCCCCAGGCUGAGACACAGAGGAAACACUUCACGUGUCCUUCAGAGAAGCAUCUGGAGAGACAUCCCCCACCCCUCCCAGGUCCUGUGGGAGCUUCCCAAUGAUCAGUCACAGGUGAAGCUGUAGCUGCACUUCACAGUCCUGUGUACUAUUGACAUAAAUAUUUAUUGAUGUUCUCUGCCAAAAAAUGUUGAAUAGGAAUCUAAUUUCUAAGUGAAUGGCAACUGCCUUGCUGUGUAACUCAGCACAUUUAAGCCCUCGAGCCUCUCUUUAGAAUAUACAGAUUUAAAAGCUUGACAAGUUUUCUUUUUCAAACUGAGCAAAGGAGAGAGAGCAGCAAUGCUCAGACCAGCAGCACAGAGAGGCAAAAUACAGAUGGGCAGAGCAAAGCAGAGCCAAACUGUGCCCAAAUCCCACCCCAAGUCAGUGUGAGGUUCAGCUGAUUAUAUAAGGCAUCUGUGCUCACGCCCUAUGGCAAAGGAAAGCUGGCAUAAUUAUAGGAAUACUUGUAAUUUUCCACUUGAUGCCUACGUGAUGUAGGGAUGUACAAACAGGGAACUGUGCCCCUGCACAACAAGGGCUUUGAGUACAAUCAGGAGCUACCAGAAUAGCAUGAAACUCACUACUUGUUUUUUUGGAUUUUCUUGUGUUUCUUCCUUCAUUGUGUUCCUUUCCAUCCUCCUCCUUCAGCUUGUUCUUUGGUUUAAAGGAAAUGGCCCCUCGUGGUUGUUCUGGUACAAGAAGUGGCCUCUCUGCAGCCUCCUGCCAAGCCAGCAUCCCUCCCUCCACCUGCCAUAAAGCACUUUCUAGCAUUACAGAUGGAAGAUAAUGUUCUGCACCAGUUCUGCUGUCCACCUUCGGGGUCUAGUAGCCCAUCCUCAAGAUAACAGCGCCGCUGCUGAGUGUGCAGGCAGUGCUCCACCUGUAUAGCCCACCUCUCCUCUCCUCUGUACUGGUGUGGAUGGACUGACUGGCACUUGCAUGGAUGCCAGAGGAUUCUGUCCUGUCACUCUGGGUAAUGCAGAAGGCACGGGUUGUGCCCUCAGUGACCUCCUGUCCAUGCCUUUCUACAGCUCUUCCUCCCGUCCAGUGCUGAAAACACACUCCAGCUGUAAACAAACCCCUGAAAUGCACAGUUUAUUUUGAACUAAAAUAAACAGUUCCACAAGUC